This 557-nucleotide ribosomal RNA is filed under the name Salmonella enterica. RNAcentral's name for it is "bacterial SSU rRNA". It matches the Rfam family "Bacterial small subunit ribosomal RNA", at positions 986 to 1533 of the family's 1533-position model. Lineage: Bacteria; Pseudomonadati; Pseudomonadota; Gammaproteobacteria; Enterobacterales; Enterobacteriaceae. The record is from RNAcentral.
AUCCACAGAAGAAUCCAGAGAUGGAUUUGUGCCUUCGGGAACUGUGAGACAGGUGCUGCAUGGCUGUCGUCAGCUCGUGUUGUGAAAUGUUGGGUUAAGUCCCGCAACGAGCGCAACCCUUAUCCUUUGUUGCCAGCGAUUAGGUCGGGAACUCAAAGGAGACUGCCAGUGAUAAACUGGAGGAAGGUGGGGAUGACGUCAAGUCAUCAUGGCCCUUACGACCAGGGCUACACACGUGCUACAAUGGCGCAUACAAAGAGAAGCGACCUCGCGAGAGCAAGCGGACCUCAUAAAGUGCGUCGUAGUCCGGAUUGGAGUCUGCAACUCGACUCCAUGAAGUCGGAAUCGCUAGUAAUCGUGGAUCAGAAUGCCACGGUGAAUACGUUCCCGGGCCUUGUACACACCGCCCGUCACACCAUGGGAGUGGGUUGCAAAAGAAGUAGGUAGCUUAACCUUCGGGAGGGCGCUUACCACUUUGUGAUUCAUGACUGGGGUGAAGUCGUAACAAGGUAACCGUAGGGGAACCUGCGGUUGGAUCACCUCCUUACCUUAAAGAA